GACGAACGCUGGCGGCGUGCUUAACACAUGCAAGUCGAACGGAAAGGCCCGUCGGGGUACUCGAGUGGCGAACGGGGGAGUAACACGUGGGUGAUCGGCCCGGCACUCUGGGAUAAGCCUGGGAAACUGGGGCUAAUACCGAAUAGGACCACGCGCUUCAUGGUGUGGGGUGGAAAGCUUUGGCGGUGUGGGGUGGGCCCGCGGCCUAUCAGCUUGUUGGCGGGGUAAUGGCCUACCAAGGCGACGACGGGUAGCCGACCUGCGCGGGUGACCGGCCACGCUGGGCCUGAGCUACGGCCCAGCCUCCUCCGGGAGGCAGCGGUGGGGAAUAUUGCACUAUGGGCGCAAGCCUGAUGCAGCGACGCCGCGUGGGGGAUGACGGCCUUCGGGUUGUAAACCUCUUUCAAUAGGGACGAAGCGCAAGUGACGGUACCUAUAGAAGAAGCACCGGCCAACUCCGUG
Molecule: ribosomal RNA, 462 nt
Filed under: uncultured bacterium
Lineage: Bacteria
Description: partial 16S ribosomal RNA
Rfam family: Bacterial small subunit ribosomal RNA
Source: RNAcentral